GACGCGCAGGCUUAGCGGCCAUGACUCACGGGCCCAGCCACUUCGCGGCAUGUGGGAUCUUCCCGGACUGGGGCACGAACCCUUGUCGCCUGCAUCGGCAGGCAGACUCUCAACCACUGCGCCACCAGGGAAGCCCGAGCCAUAGGAAUUUGGAUGGUCAAGAACAUGCUCCAGUCAGUCCUUGAAUCCACAGAAUCAAACCAGUGUCUCAUCGUGGGGAGCGUCAUUAGUAUGAGCAUCAUCGACAUCAUCAUUACCAUCAUCAUCACCAUCACGCUAGUGGAAACACAGUUCUGUCCAACAAAUAAUAAUUGAGCCUUGACUCUGUUCUGGACACUGGAAUACAUGCCGGGGGAGAGAGAGCAAAAUGAACUUGUUCCAUCGCGAGACGCUCCCAAACUUCUCAUGCCAUCAGGUUCAGGCUUGAAGUCCAGGAUCUCGUCUUUGGUAUCAUUUCCAGGCCUCUCACCACUGCGGCCCCUCCUGUUGCGGAGCACAGCCUCCGGAUGCACAGGCUCAGCGGCCAUGGCUUAUGGGCCCAGCCUCUCCACGGCAUGUGGGAUUCUCCCAGACCGGGCACGAACCCAUAUCCCCUGCAUUGGCAGGCGGACUCCCAACCACUGCGCCAUGAGGGAAGCCCCCUUUUAACCU
This is a long non-coding RNA of Lagenorhynchus albirostris (white-beaked dolphin), 651 nucleotides long. RefSeq lists it as uncharacterized. The record is from RefSeq and is a predicted model, not a curated record. Lineage: Eukaryota; Metazoa; Chordata; Mammalia; Artiodactyla; Delphinidae. The transcript is spliced from 4 exons.